GAGGGUAUAGCUCAGUGGUGGAGUGCAUGCUUAGCAUGCACAGAGUCCUGGGUUCAAUCCUUAGUACCUCUA
This 72-nucleotide transfer RNA is filed under the name Camelus bactrianus (Bactrian camel). It matches the Rfam family "tRNA". From Rfam's summary of the family: Transfer RNA (tRNA) molecules are approximately 80 nucleotides in length. RNAcentral also lists the same sequence under 2 other names. Lineage: Eukaryota; Metazoa; Chordata; Mammalia; Artiodactyla; Camelidae. The record is from Rfam by way of RNAcentral.